RNAcentral lists this unclassified non-coding RNA (1685 nucleotides) under Hevea brasiliensis (rubber tree). The record is from RNAcentral. Lineage: Eukaryota; Viridiplantae; Streptophyta; Magnoliopsida; Malpighiales; Euphorbiaceae.
UGUAGAAAGGACUUGCUGAUACGGCUGCAAAACCAUGCAACUAUGUUAAUAUAAUGACAGAAGCAAGUUCAAAAGUAUAAUCAUAUCAUAAUUAUCAAAAUGCAUAUAUUAAGCAAAUUUAAGUUCAACAUCAACACCAUUUAAUCAUAUCAAAACAUAGCAUUACAGUGAAUUAGAACUGGCCAGGGCCAGUUCAUGCCCUGAACUGAAUCGACCCUAAACCUUAUAUAGGGGGCCAGUUUUGGUCCCCCCCUCCCAACCCGGAAUCAGAACCGGCAGUCCAGUCCAGUUGAACCAUAUUUAAAAAAUGGGCAACGUGGUGGAUGCGGGAAUGCACCACAUGGACCAAAUUGCUCAAAAACAGAAACCGAAACCUUCAUUGAACUGGACCGAAAUUGGUCCUGAACUGAAACUGGCUGGAACUGCCCAUGGCCAGUACGGUUAAAUUCAUUCCCUUUCCCAACCCUGACCUGCCUGUUCUGGCCCAGAAUAGGCCCAGACCAGACCAGUGGCCAGGUCUACUGUGCAUGCAUUUGACAAAACAGUGCCAAAGUCCAGUAGUUUAACUGCAAAAAAUUGGGUUUAUGCUCCAUCCACAAGCAUUCCAUUUGCAAAGGAUUGUUUUACUGGCAAAAUCUAGCUCACUUUGCAUCAUGGUUAACUACAGAGAAAUUCAGGUGCUUACUAACAUGCACACCAGUGAUCUGGGCAAGUAAUUGUACAUAUGGACACUAAUAAAUAGGUAAUUGACAUGAAAAAGUGCUUACCAUGCAUAUGGAUAACUCCUCAUGUGCGUGCAUGCACGCUCUUGUAUAUAAGAACACAAAGCCACAUUCAUGGCAAGGACAUAUUUAGAGAACCUAUUGCAGUAGGCGGUGCCUCUCAUCUCAAUUCACAACGUGCAAUGGGGGUGGCGAGCAGGCAUACUUACAAGUACUUGUACUUUUACACACACAUAUUUACCGAUAUGCAGGUAAGCACACAUGUUACAAAAGCAGUAAUAGAUAGUAUCUGCCAUCUCAAUUCAUAUGCUUAUGUGCACAUGCGUUCACACACACAAAUGAAAAGACUUGCCUUUAUGCAAGUAAGCACUACUCCAUUUUAAACCUCAUUUUAUUAGUGUACAUAUUUACAAAACAAGUAACAGACCUCUCCCAUCUAAAUUUAUUUAUUGCCGAUUGUUACUUCCAAAAGCUCCCUCCCAUGGCUCCUAACAGUGUCAUCACAAAAAAUCCAUUAUUAAAAACUGACUACAAAGGAUAAUUUUAAGCAAUUCAUUUGGUCUUUCAUAUUCUCAAUUUAAGCCAACUUAAUCAGAGCUCUAAGAAACAUGCAGUUUUGUCCAAAUUAUGACAGUGCUCAACACUCUCUCUAUCAAGCUAUUUGUCCAAAUUAUGACAGUGCUCAACACUCUCUCUAUCAAGCUAUUUGUCCAAAUUAUGACAGUGCUCUACCCUAUCAUUUUAUGUGUGUACAUUUUAUAUAUAAAGUAGACAAAAACCACUGCACAUUUUAUAUGUACUCAGUUUAGAAUGGGCAAUGAAAGGCCCAGCAAGGGUAGACCAAUAUUGUAAUAUCUAUUUAUUUUCAAAUGCUUCCAUACAUCAUAAUAAUACAAACAAGAAGUACAAACAAUAACUAACCAUAUACAUAGUUAUUAUUAGGAGAACAGGAGGGCUCAGUUU